CCUACGGGCGGCUGCAGUGGGGAAUAUUGCACAAUGGAGGAAACUCUGAUGCAGCGACGCCGCGUGAGCGAUGAAGGUUUUCGAAUCGUAAAGCUCUGUCCUAAGGGACGAUAAUGACGGUACCUUAGGAGGAAGCCCCGGCUAACUACGUGCCAGCAGCCGCGGUAAUACGUAGGGGGCGAGCGUUGUCCGGAUUUAUUGGGCGUAAAGGGUGCGUAGGCGGCCUUGUAAGUCAGAUGUGAAAUCUCACGGCUUAACCGUGGUAAGCAUUUGAAACUGUGAGGCUUGAGUACAGGAGAGGAGAGUGGAAUUCCUAGUGUAGCGGUGAAAUGCGUAGAUAUUAGGAGGAAUACCAGUGGCGAAGGCGACUCUCUGGACUGUAACUGACGCUGAGGCACGAAAGCGUGGGGAGCAAACAGGAUUAGAUACCCCGGUAGUC
This 439-nucleotide ribosomal RNA is filed under the name uncultured Sporanaerobacter sp. Its description in RNAcentral is "bacterial SSU rRNA". It matches the Rfam family "Bacterial small subunit ribosomal RNA", at positions 338 to 795 of the family's 1533-position model. The record is from RNAcentral. Lineage: Bacteria; Bacillati; Bacillota; Tissierellia; Tissierellales; Sporanaerobacteraceae.